UACAGAGGUCUCAAGCGUUGUUCGGAAUCACUGGGCGUAAAGGGUGCGUAGGUGGCGUGGUAAGUCAGAUGUGAAAGCCCGGGGCUCAACCCCGGAAUUGCAUCCGAUACUACCAUGCUAGAGUACUGAAGAGGUGACUAGAAUUCUCGGUGUAGCAGUGAAAUGCGUAGAUAUCGAGAGGAAUACCAAAGGCGAAGGCAGGUCAUUGGGCAGUUACUGACACUGAGGCACGAAGGCUAGGGGAGCAAACGGG
This 253-nucleotide ribosomal RNA is filed under the name uncultured bacterium. Its description in RNAcentral is "partial 16S ribosomal RNA". It matches the Rfam family "Bacterial small subunit ribosomal RNA", at positions 524 to 776 of the family's 1533-position model. The record is from RNAcentral.